Molecule: ribosomal RNA, 1346 nt
Filed under: uncultured bacterium
Lineage: Bacteria
Description: partial 16S ribosomal RNA
Rfam family: Bacterial small subunit ribosomal RNA
Source: RNAcentral
GACGAACUUUGGCGGCGUGCUUAACACAUGCAAGUCGAACGGAAAGGCCCUGCUUUUGUGGGGUGCUCGAGUGGCGAACGGGUGAGUAACACGUGAGUAACCUGCCCUUGACUUUGGGAUAACUUCAGGAAACUGGGGCUAAUACCGGAUAGGAGCUCCUGCUGCAUGGUGGGGGUUGGAAAGUUUCGGCGGUUGGGGAUGGACUCGCGGCUUAUCAGCUUGUUGGUGGGGUAGUGGCUUACCAAGGCUUUGACGGGUAGCCGGCCUGAGAGGGUGACCGGCCACAUUGGGACUGAGAUACGGCCCAGACUCCUACGGGAGGCAGCAGUGGGGAAUAUUGCACAAUGGGCGGAAGCCUGAUGCAGCAACGCCGCGUGCGGGAUGACGGCCUUCGGGUUGUAAACCGCUUUCGCCUGUGACGAAGCGUGAGUGACGGUAAUGGGUAAAGAAGCACCGGCUAACUACGUGCCAGCAGCCGCGGUGAUACGUAGGGUGCGAGCGUUGUCCGGAUUUAUUGGGCGUAAAGGGCUCGUAGGUGGUUGAUCGCGUCGGAAGUGUAAUCUUGGGGCUUAACCCUGAGCGUGCUUUCGAUACGGGUUGACUUGAGGAAGGUAGGGGAGAAUGGAAUUCCUGGUGGAGCGGUGGAAUGCGCAGAUAUCAGGAGGAACACCAGUGGCGAAGGCGGUUCUCUGGGCCUUUCCUGACGCUGAGGAGCGAAAGCGUGGGGAGCGAACAGGCUUAGAUACCCUGGUAGUCCACGCUGUAAACGGUGGGUACUAGGUGUGGGGUCCAUUCCACGGGUUCCGUGCCGUAGCUAACGCUUUAAGUACCCCGCCUGGGGAGUACGGCCGCAAGGCUAAAACUCAAAGGAAUUGACGGGGCCCCGCACAAGCGGCGGAGCAUGCGGAUUAAUUCGAUGCAACGCGUAGAACCUUACCUGGGUUUGACAUGGAUCGGGAGUGCUCAGAGAUGGGUGUGCCUCUUUUGGGGUCGGUUCACAGGUGGUGCAUGCCUGUCGUCAGCUCGUGUCGUGAGAUGUUGGGUUAAGUCCCGCAACGAGCGCAACCCUUGUUCACUGUUGCCAGCACGUUAUGGUGGGGACUCAGUGGAGACCGCCGGGGUCAACUCGGAGGAAGGUGGGGAUGACGUCAAGUCAUCAUGCCCCUUAUGUCCAGGGCUUCACGCAUGCUACAAUGGCUGGUACAGAGAGUGGCGAGCCUGUGAGGGUGAGCGAAUCUCGGAAAGCCGGUCUCAGUUCGGAUUGGGGUCUGCAACUCGACCUCAUGAAGUCGGAGUCGCUAGUAAUCGCAGAUCAGCAACGCUGCGGUGAAUACGUUCCCGGGGCU